RNAcentral lists this long non-coding RNA (2557 nucleotides) under Physcomitrium patens. RNAcentral's name for it is "long non-coding RNA (PPAT_LNC006860)". The record is from RNAcentral. Lineage: Eukaryota; Viridiplantae; Streptophyta; Bryopsida; Funariales; Funariaceae.
UUAAAACCCUCUUUCUAUACUCAUAACCUGCAUUGCAAAUUUUAAAAUUUUCUUUAGGUAUAAUUUUAAUAAUAGAUAAGUUUUUUAUUUUUUUAUUUAUAUAAAUUUUUCUUAAAAUAAAAAAUAAGGUAUCUAAAUAUAUCAUAUUAUAUUUUAAUCUUUUUUAUAAUUGAUAAAUUAACUUCAGUUGUAAAUUGGUUUAUACAAUACAUGUUAUUCCUUGAUUCUUGCAACUUAUUGAUAAUCAUGAUAUGUUCUCUUUUUUUUUUUUUAUCAAUAAUUCAAAAUUCAUCCAUCAAAAAAAUUACUAAAUUUCUUUUUUCUAUAAAGAAACCAAUUGAUAACAAAUUUUCUUUAAAGAAGGUAAAAAUAAAAUAUUGAUUACCUUAUUUGAUUUUCCAUUUUCAAUUUUUAUGUUUAUUUUCCUUUAUUCAAAUGUAAUAUGAAGUUCACCACCUUUUGCUCUUAUUUUUUAAAAUAGACUUACAAGUUUGAAAUAGCUUAAUGCUAAAUUGUUGCUUGUUACAUAUUGAAAGGCUCUACUACAAAGAUUCUAAUUGAAAUUAUUUUUUUCUUUUUCUAAUGGUUUUAGUUAGAUUGAUAUUUACUUCUUGAAAAUCAUCCUCUUAUUUAAAGUUGGAUGAAUUGUUUGUUUCAAUAAUACAUGCCCUUGGCUUAUUAAUAUUUGAUAGUAGCUUUUUAAACCUGCAAUCUUUUGUUAUGUGUUUUGGCUUCCCACAAAUAUAAUGAUAAAUCAAGCAUAUAUUUCUAUUAGCAUGAAGUGUUUUUGUAAUAUCUCGACCCCUCAAGAAAAGACGUCUUCUUCUGUAAGAUGAGUAACUUCCUUUGCUUCUUGUAAUUCUAGUAUUAUACUUUGUUCUUGAAGCUUGAACUACUAAUGUUUUAUUUUUAGAAUUGGCAUUAGUAUUAGCUCUUAAUUAUAAUCUGUUUGUUUAGUUAUUAGUCUAAAUAAAAUCUUUUCAAAACUUAAAAAUUUAUCAAUGGAUGUUGAAUUAUAUGUCAAAGUAUCAAAAGAAAGAAGCAAUUUAUUUAAAAUUGUUUGUACAAGAGUCUUGGCUAGAAUUUUCUCACUAAAUACAACCAAUUGGUUUUUGAUUUUGCAAGUUGUCUUCAAAAAUUCUUCCAUGGAGGUAAAAUUUUAAAACUUCAAAGUUAAUAUAUAAUAGUUGAGAUUCAAUACCAGAGCAAGAUCUCUACUUUUGUACCUGACUUUCAAUGUUUUCUAUAUAUUUGUUAGAUUGUCUUAUUUUGUCACCAUGUCUAAUAGAUAGUCCUUCACAACAUAUAUAAGUUUUUUUUUUUUUUUUUUUUUUUUUUUUUGUCUUUGCCAUCAUAUUACAAAUUUGAGUUUCUCACAAUGUAUGCCCAUUGUAUAAACAUGGAUAUAUUGCUGGUAUAAAUUUCUCAAUAGUGAGCUCCUCUAGGUUUUUUGCUUACAAAAAGAUCUUCAUCCUCAACCUCCAAACAUAUGAAUUUUCUUCACCAAUCAAUUUCUUGGCCUUCUCAACCUACAAGAGAUUAUUGGAGCUCAACAUUAUCAAUGUCUUUAUUAUGCUCUCUUCGCAAAUAGAAUGCUCAUCAUGAUAUACUUAUUUUUAUUCCUUAACAAUGCAACUCUUCUAGAUUUUCUAAGCCUUGCUUUGAUAUUAUGUAGGAUUUUCAUAACCAAAAAUUUCUUUAUUUUCUUUAUAGAAUUCAAUUCAUACAAUUUAAACAUGAGUUGUUCAAAUAAUUUAACUCAAUCUUUUAUUCUAUAUUUUGUUCAAAUUAUACUUCUACUUCUGAUCAUGAUUGGUGUAUAUCCUGACCACAUUGAAAACUAGCAGGUAUGAAGUUUGUCCUUAUAUCACCAUAGUAUCAGCUUAAUAUCAACUUGGUAUCAACCUUGUAUCACCAUGGUAUCAGCCUUGUAUCAAGAAAGAAACCCUAGGUGCCCUUUUUUCCAAUAUUGCAUGCUUUAAAUGGUGAGGUAUGUUGUAUUAUUCUGUAAAAUUGUGUAAUUUUUACAUAGUGAAGUAAAGCUUAAUAUUGUUUAAAUCAAUGGAAAAAGAUUUGAUGCGUUUUUUUAUUUGAUUAUUAAGCAUGACCAAUACAUUGCACUUGAUGUAGAAAAGGAUUUGGUUGAGUAUAUAUUUAUUUAUAGACAUUAAAACCUCUUCUAAUUAUUAUUUUUGUAUUAGCAUCCAUCAUGAAAAUUUAGACAUUUUUAUAACUAAAAUUUGGAUUAUCAACUUCACAAUACUGAUUGCCAUUUUUUAAUAAUUUAAUGUCAUAAUAGACCAUAUGAUUUUUAACUUUUGAGUUUUUGUUCUGCAUAUUUGUCAGUAAAAAUAAGAAUCAAACUUUAAGUAUUUUUAAUUCAAUCAAUGGCAAUGUUGAGAUAUGUUUGAAUUUUGAUUAGAAAAAAAUUAAAGAUUUUAAUUAUUAAAAAUAUCAAUGUUAAUAUGUUAUUGAAAUUUUGAAUGUAGUUUUUGCAACUUGUAUUUUUAAAGUAAGUUUUAUAAAUUUUUUAGAAAAUAAUAGAUAGAGAUUUUGA